RNAcentral lists this ribosomal RNA (489 nucleotides) under Chersinellina heteropunctata. Its description in RNAcentral is "partial 12S small subunit ribosomal RNA". Lineage: Eukaryota; Metazoa; Arthropoda; Insecta; Coleoptera; Chrysomelidae. The record is from RNAcentral.
AUUAUAGUGUAAUUAAAUUUUUUUGGAAAUGAUUAAAUAAUGAAGUUUAUUUUGAAUAAUAUUUUUUAAGUGAAAUUUAAUUUAUUAAUAAAAUAUGAUUUUUCAAUUGAAGUCUAUAAAUUAAUUUUUAAACUAGGAUUAGAUACCCUAUUAUUUUAACUUAAUAAUAUUUCCUUAUAAUUAAUAGUUAUGUUCUUUAAAGUAAAAAAAUUUGGCGGUAUUCUAUACUUAUUAGAGGAACCUGUUCUAUAAUUGAUAAUCCACGAUUAUAUUUACUUUUUCUUUAGUUUGCAUAUCGUUGUUUAAAAUAUUUUUUUAGGAUAUAUUUUUAAUUUAAAUUAUAAAUUAAUUCAGAUCAAGGUGUAGUUUAUGAAAAAGAAGAAAUGGGUUACAAUAAUUUUAAUUUUGGUUUAUAAUUUUUAAAAUUUUAUUAAAUUGGAUUUAGAAGUAAAUUUAUAUAUAUUUAUAAAUUGAUUUUAGCUCUAGAAU